RNAcentral lists this ribosomal RNA (301 nucleotides) under uncultured bacterium. RNAcentral describes it as "partial 16S ribosomal RNA". It matches the Rfam family "Bacterial small subunit ribosomal RNA", at positions 509 to 807 of the family's 1533-position model. The record is from RNAcentral.
CAGCAGCCGCGGGAAUACGAAGGGGGCUAGCGUUGUUCGGAUUUACUGGGCGUAAAGCGCACGUAGGCGGAUCGAUCAGUCAGGGGUGAAAUCCCAGAGCUCAACUCUGGAACUGCCUUUGAUACUGUCGAUCUGGAGUAUGGAAGAGGUGAGUGGAAUUCUGAGUGUAGAGGUGAAAUCCGUAGAUAUUCGGAGGAACACCAGUGGCGAAGGCGGCUCACUGGUCCAUUACUGACGCUGAGGUGCGAAAGCGUGGGGAGCAAACAGGAUUAGAUACCCCGGUAGUCCCUGUCUCUUAUAC